Callithrix jacchus (white-tufted-ear marmoset) is the source of this 408-nucleotide non-coding RNA. NCBI's taxonomy places the organism in Eukaryota, Metazoa, Chordata, Mammalia, Primates, Cebidae. The record is from RefSeq and is a predicted model, not a curated record.
UGCUAAACCCUGCUGAGCGUCGUUUCUGGUGGGCAGAGUUGACAAGCCACCUGCUUCUUCACUACUCCUGACUCAUCUCUGCAGAGCAGACACACCUCACUUUUUGGGCAUCACUGAAGAAUGUUCUGACUUUACCUUUUGGGUUCAGAGGGGAGACUGCUGUUGCUAAGCCCUGCUGAGCAUCAUUUCUGGUGUGGCAGAGUUGACAAGCCACCUGCUUCUUGACUACUCCUGACUCAUCUCUGCAGAGCAGACACACCUCACUUCUUGGACAUCACUGAAGAAUGUUCUGAUUCCUAACCUGAAAAUCUGAAAUCUAUAGUGCUCCAAAAUCUGAAACCUUUUGAGCAACAACAUGACACCACGUGUAAGAAAUUCCACUUGUGAGUACUUAACACAAACUUUGUU